This is a long non-coding RNA of Nicotiana tabacum (common tobacco), 479 nucleotides long. RefSeq lists it as uncharacterized. The record is from RefSeq and is a predicted model, not a curated record. Lineage: Eukaryota; Viridiplantae; Streptophyta; Magnoliopsida; Solanales; Solanaceae.
GCUAUUUUUCAAAGUUGCUUCUUUUGGCUUAUUGUGGCCAUGGGUUAAUUUUUCAGGUGUUCAAAGAACUUGGUGUUGAAAAGUGUGACCCUACAAAUGAACAAUUUGAUCCAAAUAGGCAUAAUUCAGUGUUUCAAGGCUCCUGGCGUGGUUGUCGUUUGUCUUAAGCCGGGAUACUCCUUGUAUGACCGAAUUAUUCGGCCUGCUGAAGUUGGUGUGCCUGUAGACGUGGAGAGUACAGAGGCCAAUGCCAAUCAAAGUACCAACGCUUAAAUGGAUGGCUCACUACCAAGACGUAAAAGAGCUUUAGUGUUAUCUCCGACAAACUUCUUGCUGUUUAAACUCAAAUCAUUUUGUUCUAUAGGCGAUUUGAGUUUUAGAUCCUCCUUCCAUUGUGCAGAUGGUAAGCUAUAGGUUGGUUUGUGAUUAAUCUACUGUUGUGUUAAAUUGUUAUAAUGAAAUCUCUCUGGCUCUCACGA